GCACAUAUUGCCCCCUCCCCACCUCCGCUCUGGCGUGGGGACGGGAGGAGGAGGGAGGAAUGGAACCAGGGAGUCCGAAGUACAGCUUUGACAACUGUCGCGCUGGCCGGGAUCAGCAGAUCUGUUUUCACUACCUCAAGGUACAUAGCCCCAAACACUGCCCAUCCCCAGUUCCCCAUGCACAUCUUUCCUGUUGGAGAAACCAGGAGAGAGAUGAGCAUUUCUGUCCCAGUUCCAGACUCCCCAGAGAGAUUCUGAUGGGCCCAGCUUAGGUCAGGGGAUAGUCUUCACUCAAGAGUUCCUGAGAUAAGAGAGACUGGAGUAGCAGGCAUUGCAGAACUGAUUUUAUAAAGGAAGAAUGUGUACCAUAUAUAUAUUGCUAGUUAAACGCAUGUAUACUGUUGAGUUCUACCUCCUCAGAAGUCUAGAAGGUUUCCUUCCUUUGAGGGUGAAGAAGCAGUAACAGGCAUCCUCCAUCUGUGGAGGUGCCCCUCGCUGUGGGCACCUAGAACACUUACCAUUAACGUCUGCUUCAAGAGGAGGUCACUAAAAGUGCCCCACAUGACGCAGCAGACACUUUGCUGGUCCCAGUGCCCUCUCCAAGACCUUCCAGAUGGUGAAGUGUUAAGAGUCUAAAAUGGAGUAAACGAUCUGCACAAAUUCAGUGGUGUCAGAGGAGCCAGUCCAAAGUCACUCGGCUCUAAAACGCUGCGAUUCUAUUAUUUUAAUGAUGCCCAGGAACACAACGCGGCACGACGGACCCAGAGAUAUGGCACGCACACUUGGGAAACCCAGAAUAAUGGGAACUCAAAACUGUUAUUCAUUCGAGAGCUUAUCAGUCCAAGAAGAUGCCACCUUGGUCAGAUGUGGAUGAGGCAUGACUGGACCCACCCUAUGGGCUUGGCACCCACCUGUGCUAUAAACUGUUCAUGUGAAAACUGUGUGUCCCUGGGUUGUCUGACCUGCAGCUGUACUGCACUUUUAGUACAAUGCCUGCCACCCACAGGAGUGUUGUCACAAUUGAAGUGAAUGCUAUAAAGCAUUGUGAGCAACUCAGAAGAAGGAUGCUGCUUAACUACCCAAAAUUAUUAUACACCCACAGGCUGGAUGUUGCAGAAGAAACUUUUCGCUCUCUUUUCCUUUCCCCUGAGCAUUCUUCCGUAUCUCCCACCACAUGAGAGCAAACAAUUGAUUGGGAGUCCUGCUCUGUUGCUGAGGCUGGAGUGCGGUGGUGCCAUCAGGGCUCACUCCAGCCUCGACCUCCCAGGCUCAGGAGAUCCAACCCCGUCAGUCCUGCCAAGUAGCUGGGACUACAGGUACGAGCCACCACACCUGGCUUUUUUUUUCUUUUUAAUUUUAGUAGAGAUGCUAUGUUGCUCUGUUACCCAGGCCAGUCUCAAACUCCUGGGCUCAAGUGAUCCUCCUACCUCGGCCUCCCAAAGUACUGGGAUUAUAGACAUCA
Molecule: long non-coding RNA, 1462 nt
Filed under: Pongo abelii (Sumatran orangutan)
Lineage: Eukaryota; Metazoa; Chordata; Mammalia; Primates; Hominidae
Description: bidirectional promoter lncRNA
Source: RNAcentral